RNAcentral lists this ribosomal RNA (550 nucleotides) under uncultured bacterium. RNAcentral's name for it is "partial 16S ribosomal RNA". It matches the Rfam family "Bacterial small subunit ribosomal RNA", at positions 355 to 896 of the family's 1533-position model. The record is from RNAcentral.
UGGGGAAUCUUCCGCAAUGGACGAAAGUCUGACGGAGCAACGCCGCGUGAGUGAAGAAGGUUUUCGGAUCGUAAAACUCUGUCUUUUGGGGCGAACGUGAGUAUGGUGAACAAUCAUAGUCAGUGACGGUACCAAAGGAGGAAGCCACGGCUAACUACGUGCCAGCAGCCGCGGUAAUCGUAGGUGGCAAGCGUUGUCCGGAAUUAUUGGGCGUAAAGAGCGCGUAGGCGGGAUAGUCAGUCUGUUGUAAAAGUGCGGGGCUCAACCCCGUGAUGGCAAUGGAAACAGCUAUUCUUGAGUGCAGGAGAGGAAAGUGGAAUUCCCAGUGUAGCGGUGAAAUGCGUAGAUAUUGGGAGGAACACCAGUGGCGAAGGCGACUUUCUGGACUGUGUCUGACGCUGAGGCGCGAAAGCCAGGGGAGCGAACGGGAUUAGAUACCCCGGUAGUCCUGGCCGUAAACGAUGGGUACUAGGUGUGGGAGGUAUCGACCCCUUCCGUGCCGGAGUUAANGCAAUAAGUACCCCGCCUGGGGAGUACGGUCGCAAGACUG